UACGGGAGGCAGCAGUGGGGAAUAUUGCACAAUGGGCGAAAGCCUGAUGCAGCUAUGCCGCGUGUAUGAAGAAGGCCUUAGGGUUGUAAAGUACUUUCAUCGGGGAGGAAAAAACAAAACUAAUAAUUUUAUUUCUUGACGUUACCCGAAAAAGAAGCACCGGCUAACUCCGUGCCAGCAGCCGCGGUAAUACGGAGGGUGCUAGCGUUAAUCAGAAUUACUGGGCGUAAAGAGCACGUAGGUGGUUUUUUUAAAGUCAGAUGUGAAAUCCCUGGGCUUAACCUAGGAACUGCAUUUUGAAACUGAAAUACUAGAGUAUCGUAGAGGGAGGUAGAAUUCUAGGUGUAGCGGUGAAAUGCGUAGAUAUCUGGAGGAAUACCUGUGGCGAAAGCGGCCUCCUAAACGAAUACUGACACUGAGGGUGCGAAAGCGUGGGGAGCAAAACAGGGAUUAGAUACC
RNAcentral lists this ribosomal RNA (459 nucleotides) under uncultured bacterium. RNAcentral describes it as "bacterial SSU rRNA". It matches the Rfam family "Bacterial small subunit ribosomal RNA", at positions 340 to 786 of the family's 1533-position model. The record is from RNAcentral.